Molecule: ribosomal RNA, 259 nt
Filed under: uncultured Lactobacillus sp.
Lineage: Bacteria; Bacillati; Bacillota; Bacilli; Lactobacillales; Lactobacillaceae
Description: partial 16S ribosomal RNA
Rfam family: Bacterial small subunit ribosomal RNA
Source: RNAcentral
UGAUGCAUAGCCGAGUUGAGAGACUGAUCGGCCACAUUGGGACUGAGACACGGCCCAAACUCCUACGGGAGGCAGCAGUAGGGAAUCUUCCGACAAUGGACGCAAGUCUGAUGGAGCAACGCCGCGUGAGUGAAGAAGGUUUUCGGAUCGUAAAGCUACUGUUGUUGGUGAAGAAAGGAUAGAGGUAGUAACUGGCCUUUAUUUGACGGUAAUCAACCAGAAAGUCACGGCUAACUACGUGCCAGCAGCCGCGGUAAAU